UCUUACCUACGGGGGGCAGCAGUGAGGAAUAUUGGUCAAUGGCCGAGAGGCUGAACCAGCCACGUCGCGUGAGGGAAGACGGCCCUACGGGUUGUAAACCCCUUUUGUCGGGGAGCGAAGCGAGUCACGUGUGACUCAUUGAGAGUACCCGAAGAAAAAGCAUCGGCUAACUCCGUGCCAGCAGCCGCGGUAAUACGGAGGAUGCGAGCGUUAUCCGGAUUUAUUGGGUUUAAAGGGUGCGAAGGCGGAGGUGCAAGUCAGCGGCCAAAUUGCGGGGCUCAACCCCGUACUGCCGUUGAAACUGG
Molecule: ribosomal RNA, 305 nt
Filed under: uncultured bacterium
Lineage: Bacteria
Description: bacterial SSU rRNA
Rfam family: Bacterial small subunit ribosomal RNA
Source: RNAcentral